Molecule: microRNA precursor, 84 nt
Filed under: Ochotona princeps (American pika)
Lineage: Eukaryota; Metazoa; Chordata; Mammalia; Lagomorpha; Ochotonidae
Description: miRNA (ENSOPRG00000021880.1)
Source: RNAcentral
UUCCGUUCUCAGAUCCUCUGCUUCCUGUUCGCCUUCCUGCUAAUGCACAACCUGGGAGGCAACAAACAGCAGGGUCAGGUUCCG